CCUACGGGCGGCAGCAGUAGGGAAUAUUGCUCAAUGGGGGAAACCCUGAAGCAGCAACGCCGCGUGGAGGAUGAAGGUUUUCUGUACGUAAAGCUCUAUCAGCAGGGAAGAAAAUGACGGUACCUGACUACGAAGCCCCGGCUACCUACGUGCCAGCAGCCGCGGUAAUACGUAGGGGGCAAGCGUUAUCCGGAUUUACUGGGUGUAAAGGGAGCGUAGACGGCAGCGCAAGUCUGAAGUGAAAUCCCAUGGCUUAACCAUGGAACUGCUUUGGAAACUGUGCAGCUGGAGUGCAGGAGAGGUAAGCGGAAUUCCUAGUGUAGCGGUGAAAUGCGUAGAUAUUAGGAGGAACACCAGUGGCGAAGGCGGCUUACUGGACUGUAACUGACGUUGAGGCGCGAAAGCGUGGGGAGCAAACAGGAUUAGAUACCCUGGUAGUC
Molecule: ribosomal RNA, 440 nt
Filed under: uncultured bacterium
Lineage: Bacteria
Description: partial 16S ribosomal RNA
Rfam family: Bacterial small subunit ribosomal RNA
Source: RNAcentral